CCAUCUGGAUAAAGCACAAAUGUAAUCAGGCUGCCGGAGCCCAGUGCCUGACCUGGAGGUCAGUGACCUUCAUGGUCACAUGCCAAGAUCCACUGUGAGUCCAAAUGCUUUGAAUAACAAUGUUGAUGUUUUCCUGAGGAUUUUGGCUGGAGAGUGGACUAUAUGACCAGCAAAAGUCCACUAAGGCUUCAGUGCAAACUUCCCCGCCCCCACCCCUUUUGUGCAUUUUUGAUCGAGCACACAUGUUCCCGGGGAUUGAAGGUAAGGCCUGACACAAGCUAGGGAAGCAUGUUAUAUCUGAGUGACACCUCCAGCUCAGCUUCUUACAUUUGAAUCCAGACCAAGGCACACAGGGACUCAAAUUACCUAGGAUUUCCUUUCAAAGACAAGCUCUCAUUGUCCGAGGCGGGCCCCGACUUGCUAUACAGCCAAAGAUGAUCUUUAGCCCCUCGUACUCACUGCACAGAGUGCCGGGGUUAUAGGGGUCACCAUUUGGGAAUGCCAGCCAGGGUCUCCUUCCUGCCUAGCAUGCGCUCUACCAAAUGAGCUAUCUCCCCAGAGUUUGGUGGUUGUUUUUAUUUUUUUAUUUUUUGGUCGGGAACUCAGUCUCUAGCCUCAAGCUUCUGGCAAUGAUACCGCUUGAGAAUCAGUUACAGGCAUGAACCACCCUGCCCGGCACUGGUGAUGUUUUCAGUGUUACUCAUAAGACGAGAGGUAAGCCUUCCUGCUUGCACAAAGCCUCAUCAUUAUUACUUUCAAUAAUUCUAUGAUUUUAUAAAUGAAAUCCAUAACAGAGCCACCUUCAAAAAUAUUGAUAAUAGUUAUAGCCGACAUAUAUUAUAUCCAUGGUACCCCCAAAACACUCAUAAUAUAAUGAGGUUGGCACGAUUGCUAUGUCUCAUUCCUCAAUCAAGAGUCUAGAUGCGUGGCUUGCUGAAGCUAGGCAGUCGCUAGGAAAGACACAGAAGACACAGCCUCAAGGGUUCCUGUCUUUGGAAGCUAUGUCUCUCAGGUUGUCUUCUAAGUGUGCUAUGUUCUGUCCCCGUGUGUCUGUGAAGCUGUGUCUCACCCGACACCAUGUGGUCCCUGUGACCACUAACAUGGUCAGACCCUUCCUGCUCUCACAGUUGCUGCCCUCUGCCAGAGCAUAUUCAGAUUCAGUUUGAAUGAAUCAUCUGUCACUUGAGCCUCUCCAGCGCCUGUGGACUGGUCACACGCCAGGCCCUAAAGCAAUGCUGUGGCUUCAUUAUACAUAGCCAUAUGGUUUCUAUGUCAAAAUUGUUCUUUUUUUAUUUAGUUUGUAUUGAUAAUCAUAAACUUAACCCUGCAAUCAAUCCAGCUAGGCUUGGAGGGGGAUGAGGAAAAUAAGGAGCUUAAAGACCUUCAGUGAGAGCAGAGAUCACAGGUAUUGUGAGCAGAUGGGGUAGAGAUGCUCUCCUGAGCUGCAGAAGGAAUGGUCUAGUGGGUAAGAUGCCCACAAGAAUUAGAGCUGUCCACAGUCGGCGAUGGUCAUCUCCUUGCUUGUCUUGGCAUUCCUGGACCAAUAACAUCCCAUGACUUCCACAGGCUCAUGAUUUCUUUCACCUUACCAAAGAGCACACAAAAGCCAUGCAGCCACUCUGUCUUGACAGUGCAGAUAAAAUACUGGGAACCGUUUGUGUUUGGUCCAGCAUUUGCCAUGGACGAGAUGCCAGGAACUGUACACUUCAGGAUGAAGUUCUCAUCCUCAACUUUCUCGCUGUAGAGGGCCCAGUGCCACUGUGGCAUGUGACGUCACCACCCUGGCACACGAAUCCUGGAAAAUUCUGUGAAAGAAGGAACCCUCGAAUCCAAAUCCUUUCUCUCCCAUGCUCAGAGCACAAAAGGUUUCUGCUGUCUUUGGAACUUUGUCCGCAAACAGCUCGAAGGAGCCGAAGCCCAAGGAUUUCACAUCGACUGUGAUGCGGAGGAACAAAGUGAAGUUGACCAUGCCUGCAGCAAGCAGUGAUAGCAGAAAGUUGUAUCUACAAAGCCACUUUCUAUGUCAAAAUUCUCAAGGUUCAUAGGAUGGAAACCCAACUUAAAACUUUUUUUUUUAAUUUUUAUCAACAAAAUCUAGGAGUCAAUCCCAUUCAAAGCCUGUAGAUGCAGCUCAGAUCUCACCUCCUCUCCCUCUGCUCCUUCAGGAACUCUGCUCUUCCCUCUCUGUCUUCUUUUUUUUUUUAACACUUAAAUUUGUUUUUAUUAGAUAUUUUCUUUAUUUACAUUUCAAAUGUUAUCCCCUUUCCUGGUUUCUCCUCUGAAAAAUCCCCUCUCCCCUCCUCCCUCCCCCUGCUCCCCAACCCACCCACUACCCACUCCUGCUUCCUAGUCCUGGCAUUCCCCUAUACUGGGGCAUAGAACCUUCACAGGACCAAGGGCCUCUCCUCCCAUUGAUGGCCAACUAGGCCAUCCUCUGCUACAUAUGCAGCUAGAGCCAUGAGUCCCACCAUGUUUUUCUUUGAUUGGUGGUUUAGUCCAAGGGAGCUCUGGGGGUACUGGUUAGUUCAUAUUGUUGUCCCUCCUAUGGGGCUACAAAUCCCUUCAGCUUGGGUACUUUCUCUAGUUCCUUCAUUGGGGACCCUGUUCUUCGUUCAAUGGAUGGCUGUGAGCAUCCAACUUCUGUAUUUGUCAGGCACUGGCAUAGCCUCACAGGACGCAGCUAUAUCAGGCUCCUGUCAGCAAGCACUUGUUGGCAUCCACAAUAGUGUCGGGUUUGGUGGUUGUUUAUGGGAUGGAUCCCCAAGUGGGGCAGUCUCAGGAUGGUCCUUCCUUCAGUCUCUGCUCCGAACUUUGUCUCUGCAACUCUUUCCAUCUGUCUUCAUUCUAAAUGUUGCAAGAACCUUCAGGUUUAUAUCACCCUAUCUCAGUAACUCGAAAGGAAAAAGCUUGCUCUCCCUCUCCCUCUCCCUCUCCCUCUUUCUCUUUGAUUAGCUCUGCCUGAGUCCCAUGAACUAAUCAUUAUGUAAUGAGAUUUAUAACUCCCUUAAUGUGGGAAGGAGCAGGGGAGGAAGUGCCCAUAGAAGCCAAAGGAAGAAAAUGGGAAUGCGCGCAAGCCGGUCCAAGAUAUGACUGCGAGUGUCCACAAAUGCAUCACGGACACUAGAUUGGCUAAGUUACUUGAUGGAUGGAGCAGAGAGUGCAGCGAUAGCACAGAGGAGCCAACACUCGCUCACUAAUUGGUGUCCAGGAAAGGGGAGUCUUGAGUUGAAGAUAGGAACCAAGGACCUUAUAACCUGUAUUGCUUAAAAAUACAGUUCUCCCAGUUCCCUAUCUCUCCCCUCACCAGCUCCUGGUUGGCUUUCCCUGACAUCAAUCCAACUGUUGUUGGUGGGAACAGGAGGGAAGACCCUGGAGAAACAACAGACAGAGACCACUAUAGAAAUCCACAACUGGUCAAAAUGCAGAGAAAAACUUCAUGGGGUUCCCAGCCCCAAAGGCUACCUCUACAGUACAACUGCAGCACCUACAGCCCAGGGAACAUCAGGAAGAGGCAGCGGGAAGGCUUUAAGAGCCAGUGGACCAGGGAAUCUGCUGUGAAGUCUUACACAACAAUAUGGCUGCCUAAACAAGCCCUAAACAAGCCCUAAACAAGCCCUAAACAAGCCCUAAACAAGGACAUCAGUAGUCAGGCUAAUGUGUGAAGGGGGAAACUCAUGGAGCUCCAUCCCUAGCCAAGGGCUUACAGGCAACUGAGGGAUGCUGACGGCAGGAUGAGUAUAUUUCCCCCAUGGAGGGGCCCCCUAAUUGGUCAUCCCAUACCAGGUGGGGAGCCCUGAGAUCAUGUACAUGCAAUGCUGAACAGAAUGGACAGUUUUAUAUAAAUAUAUGUACACAUAUAGAUGUAGUUGUGUGUGUGUGUGUGUGUGUGUGUGUGUGUGUGUGUGUGUGUGUGUGUAACAAUAACAACUAAGGAGGAAGCCGGGAGUGGGGUUGGGGGCAGGAUGGGUGGAGUUAAAGGAAGGAAAAAGCAAUGAAGGGAAAUGAUAGAGUUGUAUUUUAAUUUUACAAAGUUAAUCAAAAA
RNAcentral lists this long non-coding RNA (4042 nucleotides) under Mus musculus (house mouse). RNAcentral's name for it is "long non-coding RNA chr3:121378771-121382813". Lineage: Eukaryota; Metazoa; Chordata; Mammalia; Rodentia; Muridae. The record is from RNAcentral.